RNAcentral lists this ribosomal RNA (369 nucleotides) under uncultured bacterium. RNAcentral's name for it is "partial 16S ribosomal RNA". It matches the Rfam family "Bacterial small subunit ribosomal RNA", at positions 338 to 725 of the family's 1533-position model. The record is from RNAcentral.
CCUACGGGUGGCAGCAGUGGGGAAUAUUGCACAAUGGGCGAAAGCCUGAUGCAGCAACGCCGCGUGAGCGAUGAAGUCCCUCGGGUCGUAAAGCUCUAUCCGCAAGGAAGAUAAUGACGGUACUUGACUAUGAAGCCCCGGCUAACUACGUGCCAGCAGCCGCGGUAAUACGUAGGGGGCUAGCGUUAUCCGGAUUUACUGGGUGUAAAGGGUGCGUAGGCGGAUUCCGAAGUCAGAGGUGAAAUGCUAGGGCUGAACCGUAGUAAGCCUUUGAAAAUGGGCAACUUGAGUGCAGGAGGGGAGAGUGGAAUUCCUAGUGUAGCGGUGAAAUGCGAAGAUAUUAGGAGGAACACCAGUUGCGAAGGCGGC